GUCACUGGGGCAGGAGCAGAGGCUGGUGAAGCGCUCACAAGUCUUUAGGAAAUGGCACUGCAUUCACCAUCAGUAGGACUCAAGCAAAAACCAAAGAGCUAGAGGAGUUUCAAAGGAGAAGUGGAGGUCUCUUGCAGACUUCAGGGACACCUCAGAGAAACUGUGCAUCUCUGUGAAGGCCAUAUCUGCCUUGUAUCUGUCAAAAGUGUCCCCCCAAGAACCAAAGACUCUGGUGCAAUCUGAAUUAGGAAAGAGGCCAAGACUAACAAAGGUAAAAUGUAAUUUUGGAUAAAAUGCAUGAUGAUUUGGUUUGUGCAACUGUUUGGAGUAAUUGCAAAUUGAACUGCAUUGUCAUAAACACAAAUGUUACUCGUCUGAUUUGCCAUUUCUG
This 391-nucleotide long non-coding RNA is filed under the name Neogobius melanostomus (round goby). RNAcentral's name for it is "lncRNA (ENSNMLG00000007302.1)". Lineage: Eukaryota; Metazoa; Chordata; Actinopteri; Gobiiformes; Gobiidae. The record is from RNAcentral.